AGAGUUUGAUCMUGGCUCAGGACGAACGCUGGCGGCGUGCCUAAUACAUGCAAGUCGAGCGAACAGAAGGGAGCUUGCUCCCGGAUGUUAGCGGCGGACGGGUGAGUAACACGUGGGUAACCUGCCUGUAAGACUGGGAUAACUCCGGGAAACCGGAGCUAAUACCGGAUAGUUCCUUGAACCGCAUGGUUCAAGGAUGAAAGACGGUUUCGGCUGUCACUUACAGAUGGACCCGCGGCGCAUUAGCUAGUUGGUGGGGUAAUGGCUCACCAAGGCGACGAUGCGUAGCCGACCUGAGAGGGUGAUCGGCCACACUGGGACUGAGACACGGCCCAGACUCCUACGGGAGGCAGCAGUAGGGAAUCUUCCGCAAUGGACGAAAGUCUGACGGAGCAACGCCGCGUGAGUGAUGAAGGUUUUCGGAUCGUAAAGCUCUGUUGUUAGGGAAGAACAAGUGCGAGAGUAACUGCUCGCACCUUGACGGUACCUAACCAGAAAGCCACGGCUAACUACGUGCCAGCAGCCGCGGUAAUACGUAGGUGGCAAGCGUUGUCCGGAAUUAUUGGGCGUAAAGGGCUCGCAGGCGGUUUCUUAAGUCUGAUGUGAAAGCCCCCGGCUCAACCGGGGAGGGUCAUUGGAAACUGGGAAACUUGAGUGCAGAAGAGGAGAGUGGAAUUCCACGUGUAGCGGUGAAAUGCGUAGAGAUGUGGAGGAACACCAGUGGCGAAGGCGACUCUCUGGUCUGUAACUGACGCUGAGGAGCGAAAGCGUGGGGAGCGAACAGGAUUAGAUACCCUGGUAGUCCACGCCGUAAACGAUGAGUGCUAAGUGUUAGGGGGUUUCCGCCCCUUAGUGCUGCAGCUAACGCAUUAAGCACUCCGCCUGGGGAGUACGGUCGCAAGACUGAAACUCAAAGGAAUUGACGG
This 926-nucleotide ribosomal RNA is filed under the name Bacillus pumilus. Its description in RNAcentral is "bacterial SSU rRNA". It matches the Rfam family "Bacterial small subunit ribosomal RNA", at positions 8 to 916 of the family's 1533-position model. Lineage: Bacteria; Bacillati; Bacillota; Bacilli; Caryophanales; Bacillaceae. The record is from RNAcentral.